RNAcentral lists this ribosomal RNA (465 nucleotides) under Vreelandella stevensii. Its description in RNAcentral is "partial 16S ribosomal RNA". It matches the Rfam family "Bacterial small subunit ribosomal RNA", at positions 338 to 795 of the family's 1533-position model. The record is from RNAcentral. Lineage: Bacteria; Pseudomonadati; Pseudomonadota; Gammaproteobacteria; Oceanospirillales; Halomonadaceae.
CCUACGGGAGGCUGCAGUGGGGAAUAUUGGACAAUGGGCGAAAGCCUGAUCCAGCCAUGCCGCGUGUGUGAAGAAGGCCUUCGGGUUGUAAAGCACUUUCAGUGGGGAAGAAAGCCUUGGGGCUAAUACCCUCGAGGAAGGACAUCACCCACAGAAGAAGCACCGGCUAACUCCGUGCCAGCAGCCGCGGUAAUACGGAGGGUGCGAGCGUUAAUCGGAAUUACUGGGCGUAAAGCGCGCGUAGGCGGUCUGAUAAGCCGGUUGUGAAAGCCCCGGGCUCAACCUGGGAACGGCAUCCGGAACUGUCAGGCUAGAGUGCAGGAGAGGAAGGUAGAAUUCCCGGUGUAGCGGUGAAAUGCGUAGAGAUCGGGAGGAAUACCAGUGGCGAAGGCGGCCUACUGGACUGACACUGACGCUGAGGUGCGAAAGCGUGGGUAGCAAACAGGAUUAGAUACCCCUGUAGUC